CAGCGAGCCGCGUCAGAGUCCGGCGCCAUGACAGUCCCGAAAUCCACUGCCAAGUAUAGUGGAUUUCUUCGUGUGGAAGAAAAUGCAGGUACAGGAGGGGAGACGGACUGAGUAAAUAUUUUACUUGGCUGUAUUCAUCAACGCAGUGAAGGAGGAACCUCAUACCGUGGGUGACAGGGAUGGAGAAGGCCUUGUGUUCCAGAUCCAACAGGUCAGCGUAGAGAGGGGUCACGGGACUGGGUGACAGGAGGAACACAGGCUGGCUUCACCCAGCACCCACAGAGCGCAGAGGGUUCCUGUGUCAUCCGCUUCUCUGCAUCCAGAACCCCAGCCCUCCUGGACAGCAAAACCACAAACGUGGUUUUUUGUACUGAUUUAAUAAAACAUAGCUUGACUGAAAUUAAAAAAGCUUCAGCCUGUCUAUGAAAAUAUAAAACAAAAUAUAGGGGAUUUACC
Molecule: long non-coding RNA, 456 nt
Organism: Lepisosteus oculatus (spotted gar)
Lineage: Eukaryota; Metazoa; Chordata; Actinopteri; Semionotiformes; Lepisosteidae
Source: RefSeq, a predicted model, not a curated record